UGGGGAAUAUUGGACAAUGGGCGAAAGCCUGAUCCAGCCAUGCCGCGUGUGUGAAGAAGGUCUUCGGAUUGUAAAGCACUUUAAGUUGGGAGGAAGGGCAGUUACCUAAUACGUAUCUGUUUUGACGUUACCGACAGAAUAAGCACCGGCUAACUCUGUGCCAGCAGCCGCGGUAAUACAGAGGGUGCAAGCGUUAAUCGGAAUUACUGGGCGUAAAGCGCGCGUAGGUGGUUUGUUAAGUUGGAUGUGAAAUCCCCGGGCUCAACCUGGGAACUGCAUUCAAAACUGACAAGCUAGAGUAUGGUAGAGGGUGGUGGAAUUUCCUGUGUAGCGGUGAAAUGCGUAGAUAUAGGAAGGAACACCAGUGGCGAAGGCGACCACCUGGACUGAUACUGACACUGAGGUGCGAAAGCGUGGGGAGCAAACAGGAUUAGAUACCCUAGUAGUCCCUGAGCGGGCUGGCAAGGCGCAU
This 472-nucleotide ribosomal RNA is filed under the name uncultured bacterium. Its description in RNAcentral is "bacterial SSU rRNA". It matches the Rfam family "Bacterial small subunit ribosomal RNA", at positions 355 to 825 of the family's 1533-position model. The record is from RNAcentral.